Molecule: long non-coding RNA, 1447 nt
Organism: Poecilia latipinna (sailfin molly)
Lineage: Eukaryota; Metazoa; Chordata; Actinopteri; Cyprinodontiformes; Poeciliidae
Exons: 2
Source: RefSeq, a predicted model, not a curated record
AUUAUUUAUUUAUUUUACCGAACUUGUACCGUCCAUUUUUUCAAAUCAAACUCAACUGGGCGCGUGAAAGCUAACCAUUCAUGGCGUCAUGCUACUUAUGUCUCAAUCCUGCUUUUUUAAAAUGUCAAGCUGCAGUUGUCUUAUUUGCUAAACAUGAUUUGAUGUCCCGGUUGUUAACAUAAAAGCAGGUGGUCAUUUAACUUCGGUAAAUAUGUCAAGUUUGGGGUUUUAGAAUAUGGGAAAUGUCGCCUGGAGUGGGGGGGUAUUUAGAGGGGAGUAUGGUGAGUUCGAACGACGAACGAACGUAAACUGGGGUGGAGGGGAACCGUUAGACCAGGGGACGACCGUCAGACUGGGGUGGGGACGGCUCGUGUUUCAGUCAGUGUUAAAUUUGUUUCAUGUUCGGUGCUCUAAUCAGGCAUGUUGAGAUUAAGUUAGGUUGAUAAACUGUUACAGUGGGUCAGAAGCUUCUUGCCUCAUAUAAAUUGUAAGUCAGUGGAUUGUACAUGCAGAUAGUUAAUUUUCCUAUUUCUGAAAUAGGAAUAAACAUCACUGAGAGUAAAUAAAAGUGACGUUUGCAAAGAAUUUCUUCCAAUUGGGACUUUUUACUGAAAUGCCUGCUCAUUAUCGGUUAUUGUAGCUUAGCUUAAAAACUAUAUAAAUAGUACUGUUCUAAAUUUGUUGUCAGAACAAAUGAUUUUAUUUAAUUGUUAAAAAAAAACACCAAAUGAUUGAUUUAAUUAUUGGAAGACUUGCAUGUGUUGGUGUUUAUAUUUCCUUCUCCUUAUAUGGUUAUUUUGUUGUCUCUCCUCAACAGCUGCAUCCAGACACUCCUGAACUUUUCCUGGCAAGCAACUAGGCAUCUUUAUAAUAGAGUUUUUCUGGGCUCAAACCCUGAACGAGGUCGACUGACACGUCGCCAACGAAGGUGAAGAAGCAGCUUUGCCUUCCAACCAAAUGGCUCAAGUCCCUUAAUGAACUGAAUGACUGGGAAUCCAUGGAAAAUUUGAGCCUUUUGAAGUUUAAAUGUGAUUGAUCAUCUCAUCAAACCUGGUGCACCAAGAACCUUUGCGAAGCACAAGAACUGGUCAGAACAUUUCAAGCUCUUGGUAACUGGACCUAAGAGUUGGAUUAACCUUUUUUUGCAGAACAUAAACAUAAAAUGGACUGUUUUGUUAUGUUCACAGCGACUAGAGGUAAUGAGAGCACACACUCAUGAAUCCAGUGUCUUCCACUGUUGUUGGCAUUAGGCUGUGUUUAUGUAGCAUUUGAUUUUUAACAAAAUAUUUAUACCUGUAUUUCAUAAAAAAUAGUGGUUGACUUUCGGCAUUUAUUUUGAAGUAUGUUGGUCCUGUUUACAACUAUGAUUUUCAUGUUCCAAAGCAAUUUUUUGUAUGUUCCAUCUGAUAGUAAUAACCUAACAAAAUUGUUUAUUUGACUUCAAAGA